Long non-coding RNA from Dermacentor andersoni, 990 nucleotides. RefSeq lists it as uncharacterized. Lineage: Eukaryota; Metazoa; Arthropoda; Arachnida; Ixodida; Ixodidae. The record is from RefSeq and is a predicted model, not a curated record.
AUAUAUAUAUAUGAAGGUGGUCUGUUCCUGACCACCGUCAGUUGGUUCCACGGAGGAAGUGGUUGGUUCUUUAUUCUAUGUGCACGUCGCUCCACGACGAGGUAGGAUGUGUGUCGAGUGAGCAUUGAGUCACCCUAAUUGAGUGAGCUCCGGAUGGCUCCCACGGCUCCGGAACAACAUUUUGCUGUGUGCUGAACUCGGUUUAAACAAUAAAUCCGGGACCUUAAAGAGGUGCGACGAAAUUCUAACGCAUUUUUCUUGCAUUUAUCGCUGAAUAACCACUUUAUUAUUUUUUUUUUUGAGUGAGUAGAUAUCGCAAGAAGAUGUCAGGAGAAAGAGCAGGGGACGCUGGCCUGAUCUUAACAGAACAGACCGGAAGGGCAAUGUCUGAAUGACUUGAUCGUUUUCACAGAGAGCUGGACACCCGCUCCAAGGCUAUGGAGAAGUCGAAGAAAUCGUCCCAAAGAUCCUCCGGCUACGAAGGCACCUCAAGGCCGCUGGAAAUCACCUUGAUGUCACGGGGACAUGGACCGCACAACAGUUCCUGGAAUUUAUCGCCAAAUUGAACUUCUUUUGAGUCCCUCCCUAAUCUUACCGUUAUCUUUCGCUUGUUCCUCACGAGCUGCGUGUCAGUUGCAUCAUGCGAAAGAAACUUUUCCAAGUUAAAGCUGAUCAAAACGUGUCUGCGCUCUACCAUGAGUGAUGAAAGGCUGUCAAAUUUGGCGAUACUGACCAUAGAAAAAGAACACGUAAAAAAUAUAAACUUUACUACUGUAAUUAAUGAGUUUGCAGAAGCGAUCGAAGUGUCGAAAAAAGAACUUUAGAAGGAAAUGUGUCCUAUACUGGUCAUUAGUGCAGAAGGCUCGAUGUCCCACCAUGGUUUGUGCAUCGGCAAUAUGUAUACAAUGUUCGAUUUAUCAAUUUUGAAUCGUUGUAAUUGUUUUUUAUCAGUUUCGCGGUGUUGAAUAAAAGAUAUUCCUCCUAGUCCUA